CCUACGGGGGGCAGCAGUGAGGAAUCUUGGUCAAUGGGCGCGAGCCUGAAGCAGCCAAGCCGCGUGAGUGAUGAAGGUUCUAUGGAUCGUAAACCUCUUUUAUAAGGGAAUAAAGUGUGGGACGUGUCCUACUUUGUAUGUACCUUAUGAAUAAGGAUCGGCUAACUCCGUGCCAGCAGCCGCGGUAAUACGGAGGAUCCGAGCGUUAUCCGGAUUUAUUGGGUUUAAAGGGUGCGUAGGCGGCCUUAUAAGUCAGCGGUGAAAGUCUGUGGCUCAACCAUAGAAUUGCAGUUGAAACUGGGGGGCUUGAGUAUGUUUGAGGCAGGCGGAAUGCGUGGUGUAGCGGUGAAAUGCUUAGAUAUCACGCAGAACCCCGAUUGCGAAGGCAGCCUGCCAGGCCUUGACUGACGCUGAUGCACGAAAGCGUGGGGAUCGAACAGGAUUAGAUACCCGAGUAGUC
This 460-nucleotide ribosomal RNA is filed under the name uncultured bacterium. RNAcentral's name for it is "partial 16S ribosomal RNA". It matches the Rfam family "Bacterial small subunit ribosomal RNA", at positions 338 to 795 of the family's 1533-position model. The record is from RNAcentral.